CAGUAGCCGCGGUAAUACGAAGGGGGCUAGCGUUGUUCGGAAUUACUGGGCGUAAAGCGCACGUAGGCGGCUUGGUAAGUUAGAGGUGAAAGCCUGGAGCUCAACUCCAGAAUUGCCUUUAAGACUGCCGAGCUAGCAGGUGAGAGAGGUAAGUGGAAUUCCGAGUGUAGAGGUGAAAUUCGUAGAUAUUCGGAAGAACACCAGUGGCGAAGGCGGCUUACUGGCUCAUACUGGACGCUGAGGUGCGAAAGCGUGGGGAGCAAACAGGAUUAGAUACCCCGGUAGUCCCUGUCUCUUAUAA
This 301-nucleotide ribosomal RNA is filed under the name uncultured bacterium. RNAcentral's name for it is "partial 16S ribosomal RNA". It matches the Rfam family "Bacterial small subunit ribosomal RNA", at positions 509 to 809 of the family's 1533-position model. The record is from RNAcentral.